GUGGGUAUAGCUCAGUGGUAGAGUAUUCGACUGCAGAUCGAGAGGUCACCGGUUCAAACCCGGACGCCCCCU
This 72-nucleotide transfer RNA is filed under the name Araneus ventricosus. It matches the Rfam family "tRNA". Rfam says of the family: Transfer RNA (tRNA) molecules are approximately 80 nucleotides in length. Their secondary structure includes four short double-helical elements and three loops (D, anti-codon, and T loops). The record is from Rfam by way of RNAcentral. Lineage: Eukaryota; Metazoa; Arthropoda; Arachnida; Araneae; Araneidae.